UACGUAGGGGGCAAGCGUUGUCCGGAUUUAUUGGGCGUAAAGAGCGUGUGGGCGGUUAGGUAGGUCCGUUGUGAAAACUCGAGGCUCAACCUCGAGACGCCGAUGGAAACCAUCUAACUAGAGUCCGGAAGAGGAGAGUGGAAUUCCUGGUGUAGCGGUGAAAUGCGCAGAUAUCAGGAAGAACACCCGUGGCUAAGGCGGCUCUCUAGUACGGUACUGACGCUGAGACGCGAAAGCGUGGGGAGCGAACAGG
RNAcentral lists this ribosomal RNA (253 nucleotides) under uncultured bacterium. RNAcentral's name for it is "partial 16S ribosomal RNA". It matches the Rfam family "Bacterial small subunit ribosomal RNA", at positions 524 to 776 of the family's 1533-position model. The record is from RNAcentral.